UGGGGGAUAUUGCACAAUGGGGGGAACCCUGAUGCAGCGAUGCCGCGUGGAGGAAGAAGGUUUUCGGAUUGUAAACUCCUGUCCUGAAGGACGAUAAUGACGGUACUUCAGGAGGAAGCUCCGGCUAACUAUGUGCCAGCAGCCGCGGUAAUACAUAGGGAGCGAGCGUUAUCCGGAAUUACUGGGUGUAAAGGGAGCGUAGGCGGGACUGCAAGUCAGAUGUGAAAACCACGGGCUCAACCUGUGGACUGCAUUUGAAACUGUGGUUCUUGAGUGAAGUAGAGGCAAGCGGAAUUCCUAGUGUAGCGGUGAAAUGCGUAGAUAUUAGGAGGAACAUCGGUGGCGAAGGCGGCUUGCUGGGCUUUUACUGACGCUGAGGCUCGAAAGCGUGGGGAGCAAACAGG
Molecule: ribosomal RNA, 404 nt
Filed under: uncultured bacterium
Lineage: Bacteria
Description: bacterial SSU rRNA
Rfam family: Bacterial small subunit ribosomal RNA
Source: RNAcentral